CGCAUGCGUCCGGCCCGGCCAGUCGAAAGACAGUCAUCCGUCUUUUGUUUUUCAAAAUUAACAAAAUAUGCCCUAAUAUUUGCCCGGAAGAGUGUGAAACAUUCACCCCUGGCCUCUCUUUCACUUGGUUUAUUCUUGUUUGGACGAACGAAGGGGAAGAGGCCGUGGGUCGAGCCCGGCAUCGACGAAGACAGCCAUGCCGGUCAGGCCCCCAACCGCACGCUGCUAUAAAUAGCUGGGCCCCGCCAUCGCUGCUCUUUUUGUGCGACGGUCUGACUCCUUCAGUUUGGGCAUGUUGCGGUGCUGCUGGGAGCAGCUGGGGCUCCCUCCCCUACACCAAGGGGAGGCGGCGGCCCCGGCGUCCUGCGCUGUCUUCGCACGGCUUCCUGCGUGUAGGUAUCUCGGGGCCCUACCGGUUGAGGGGGCCGCAGUCUCGGGCUGAGCAGGAUGAACUGCCAUUACAGACUAGAGUUUCUGAUGCGUCCAUGACGCCACUGUUUGGAACUGACCCAGCCCAGGUCAGGGGGGACUUGGCUGGAGUCGUCCCGGCCUCGGCUGACGCCCUGUUUCUUCCCAGGCCCCUGGUCCUCGCAGGCUGGUCCGCAGCACCACGAGGGUGUUUUAAGAUGUCCGCCGGUGCGUUACCGUUGAAUGAACCAUGA
RNAcentral lists this long non-coding RNA (662 nucleotides) under Ursus americanus (American black bear). RNAcentral's name for it is "lncRNA (ENSUAMG00000024483.1)". Lineage: Eukaryota; Metazoa; Chordata; Mammalia; Carnivora; Ursidae. The record is from RNAcentral.